Molecule: ribosomal RNA, 246 nt
Filed under: uncultured bacterium
Lineage: Bacteria
Description: partial 16S ribosomal RNA
Rfam family: Bacterial small subunit ribosomal RNA
Source: RNAcentral
AGAGUUUGAUCCUGGCUCAGGAUAAACGCUGGCGGCGCACAUAAGACAUGCAAGUCGAACGAACUUAACCAUUAGUUUACUAUUGGAGCGGUUAGUGGCGGACUGGUGAGUAACACGUAAGCAACCUGCCUAUCAGAGGGGAACAACAGUUAGAAAUGACUGCUAAUACCGCAUAUGCCUUAGAAUCACAUGGUUCGAAAGGGAAAGGAGCAAUCCGGCUGACAGAUGGGCUUGCGUCUGAUUACG